This 389-nucleotide long non-coding RNA is filed under the name Mytilus galloprovincialis (Mediterranean mussel). The record is from RNAcentral. Lineage: Eukaryota; Metazoa; Mollusca; Bivalvia; Mytilida; Mytilidae.
CGGCCAUCUUGGAUGAUGGAUCGGCUACAAAGUAACAACACUUGGUCAGCACCUCAUAAGGAACAUUCAUGCCAUGUUUGGUUUCAUUCCAUUCAGUGGUUCUCUAGAAGAAGUCAUUUGUAUGCAUUUCCCAUAGGGUCCUAUGUUAAAAUAAGUCCCCCGCUGGCUGCCAUCUUGGAUGAUGGAUCGGCUACAAAGUAACAACACUUGGUCAGCACCUCAUAAGGAACAUUCAUGCCAUGUUUGGUUUCAUUCCAUUCAGUGGUUCUCUAGAAGAAGUCAUUUGUAUGCAUUUCCCAUAGGGUCCUAUGUUAAACUAAGUCCCCCGCUGGCUGCCAUCUUGGAUGAUGGAUCGGCUACAAAGUAACAACACUUGGUCAGCAACUCAU